RNAcentral lists this long non-coding RNA (406 nucleotides) under Carica papaya (papaya). RNAcentral describes it as "long non-coding RNA (CPAP_LNC014730)". Lineage: Eukaryota; Viridiplantae; Streptophyta; Magnoliopsida; Brassicales; Caricaceae. The record is from RNAcentral.
GGCAAUCAGAGCAUGAGGACAUAGAUUGAGAGGUCUUGGGAGAACUUUGUAAGAGAUUCAGAGAUCCACAGUAGCUGACGUUGUGGAAAAGUUUGACAUAUUAAAGCAAAAGAGUUUCUUGAUGGAAUACCAGGAGAGAAUUGAAGAGUUAAAAUUAGUGACGUUAAGAAAAAACUCACUUCAACGAGCCUUAUUUAAUAUCUUCCUUUAUUAGUAACUUAAAUGAAGAGCUACGGUCUAUGAUUAAGCUUUUCAGACCACAAGCCUUAGACAUGGCAUAUGAACAAGUUAAACUCCAAUCUCAAUGCACUAAAUCCAUGUUACGGGACCAAAAGAACCAGAACAGACUUCCCGCUCAGUUCCAAACUACCCUACGAUAACUAAACACUUCUGCAAGGAACCAACC